RNAcentral lists this ribosomal RNA (253 nucleotides) under uncultured prokaryote. RNAcentral describes it as "partial 16S ribosomal RNA". It matches the Rfam family "Bacterial small subunit ribosomal RNA", at positions 524 to 776 of the family's 1533-position model. The record is from RNAcentral.
UACGGAGGAUCCGAGCGUUAUCCGGAUUUAUUGGGUUUAAAGGGUGCGUAGGUGGCUUUUUAAGUCAGGGGUGAAAGACGGUAGCUUAACUAUCGCAGUGCCCUUGAUACUGAAGAGCUUGAAUGAACUAGAGGUAGGCGGAAUGUGACAAGUAGCGGUGAAAUGCAUAGAUAUGUCACAGAACACCAAUUGCGAAGGCAGCUUGCCAAGCAACAACUGACGCUGAGGCACGAAAGUGCGGGGAUCAAACAGG